GAAAGUUUGAAGCCUAAUAUUAAAAGAAGAAGAAGGACCUGAAAGCUGAGGGCUCUGCCUCCCAUUCUGAAUAAAAUAUUCUAAGUAAACCAGCAGUCUGACAUUGUUACUGUUACUAUGUUACUAUGAGGUCUUCAAGAUGGGAACACCUACUUAUAACUCUACUUUUGUCCAUGGGCAGCCAAUCAGAACAAAGGUUGGAAGAUUAAAGGAAAGAUUAGGAAACCAAAAAAGCUUGUUUUCAAUAGCAGAUGAUGGGGCGCACCAAGGUCUCGUAUAAGAUGAAGACAUCAGGGUUCAGCAUCUUGGCUAAGGAUACUUUGGAUACUUUGGCAUGCAGACCGGAUCAGCAAUUGAACCACCAACCUUCCAAUUAGCCACAGGCACCCAUCAUAAAAACAAAAGGUAAA
This is a long non-coding RNA of Oreochromis aureus, 410 nucleotides long. RefSeq lists it as uncharacterized. The transcript is spliced from 3 exons. The record is from RefSeq and is a predicted model, not a curated record. Lineage: Eukaryota; Metazoa; Chordata; Actinopteri; Cichliformes; Cichlidae.